GCCUGGUCCGGUUAGCUCAGUUGGUAGAGCGCUCCCCUGGAAAUGGAGAGGUCCCGGGUUCGAUACCCGGACCAGGCG
Molecule: transfer RNA, 78 nt
Filed under: Ixodes scapularis (black-legged tick)
Lineage: Eukaryota; Metazoa; Arthropoda; Arachnida; Ixodida; Ixodidae
Description: tRNA-Ser
Rfam family: tRNA
About the family: Transfer RNA (tRNA) molecules are approximately 80 nucleotides in length. Their secondary structure includes four short double-helical elements and three loops (D, anti-codon, and T loops). Further hydrogen bonds mediate the characteristic L-shaped molecular structure. tRNAs have two regions of fundamental functional importance: the anti-codon, which is responsible for specific mRNA codon recognition, and the 3' end, to which the tRNAs corresponding amino acid is attached (by aminoacyl-tRNA synthetases). tRNAs cope with the degeneracy of the genetic code in two manners: having more than one tRNA (with a specific anti-codon) for a particular amino acid; and 'wobble' base-pairing, i.e. permitting non-standard base-pairing at the 3rd anti-codon position.
Source: RNAcentral